CCUACGGGAGGCUACAGUGAGGAAUAUUGGUCAAUGGACGAGAGUCUGAACCAGCCAAGUAGCGUGAAGGAUGACUGUCCUCUGGGUUGUAAACUUCUUUUAUAUGGGAAUAAAAUGUUCCACGUGUGGGCUUUUGUAUGUACCAUAUGAAUAAGGAUCGGAUAACUCCGUGCCAGCAGCCGCGGUAAUACGGAGGAUCCGAGCGUUAUCCGGAUUUAUUGGGUUUAAAGGGAGCGUAGGUGGAUUGUUAAGUCAGUUGUGAAAGUUUGCGGCUCAACCGUAAAAUUGCAGUUGAUACUGGCAGUCUUGAGUACAGUAGAGGUGGGUAGAAUUCGUGGUGUAGCGGUGAAAUGCGUAGAUAUCACGAAGAAUACCGAUGGCGAAGGCAGCCCACUGGACUGCAACUGACACUGAGGCUCGAAAGUGUGGGGAUCAAACAGGAUUAGAUACCCGAGUAGUC
RNAcentral lists this ribosomal RNA (460 nucleotides) under uncultured bacterium. Its description in RNAcentral is "partial 16S ribosomal RNA". It matches the Rfam family "Bacterial small subunit ribosomal RNA", at positions 338 to 795 of the family's 1533-position model. The record is from RNAcentral.